AGAGUUUGAUUAUGGCUCAGGAUGAACGCUGGCGGCGUGCCUAACACACGCAAGUCGAACGAAGCACUUAAAUGGAAUUCUUCGGAAGGAAGCUUAAGUGACUGAGUGGCGGACGGGUGAGUAACGCGUGGGUAACCUGCCUCAUACAGGGGGAUAACAGUUAGAAAUGGCUGCUAAUACCGCAUAAGCACACAGUGUUGCAUGACACAGUGUGAAAAACUCCGGUGGUAUGAGAUGGACCCGCGUCUGAUUAGCUAGUUGGUGGGGUAACGGCCUACCAAGGCGACGAUCAGUAGCCGACCUGAGAGGGUGACCGGCCACAUUGGGACUGAGACACGGCCCAA
This 344-nucleotide ribosomal RNA is filed under the name uncultured bacterium. Its description in RNAcentral is "bacterial SSU rRNA". It matches the Rfam family "Bacterial small subunit ribosomal RNA", at positions 8 to 334 of the family's 1533-position model. The record is from RNAcentral.